Molecule: ribosomal RNA, 301 nt
Filed under: uncultured bacterium
Lineage: Bacteria
Description: partial 16S ribosomal RNA
Rfam family: Bacterial small subunit ribosomal RNA
Source: RNAcentral
CAGUAGCCGCGGGAAUACAGAGGGUGCAAGCGUUAAUCGGAAUUACUGGGCGUAAAGCGCGCGUAGGUGGUUUGUUAAGUUGAAUGUGAAAUCCCCGGGCUCAACCUGGGAACUGCAUCCAAAACUGGCAAGCUAGAGUAGGGCAGAGGGUGGUGGAAUUUCCUGUGUAGCGGUGAAAUGCGUAGAUAUAGGAAGGAACACCAGUGGCGAAGGCGACCACCUGGGCUCAUACUGACACUGAGGUGCGAAAGCGUGGGGAGCAAACAGGAUUAGAUACCCGCGUAGUCCCUGUCUCUUAUAC